RNAcentral lists this signal recognition particle RNA (327 nucleotides) under Otolemur garnettii (small-eared galago). RNAcentral's name for it is "Metazoan signal recognition particle RNA". It matches the Rfam family "Metazoan signal recognition particle RNA". Rfam says of the family: The signal recognition particle (SRP) is a universally conserved ribonucleoprotein. It is involved in the co-translational targeting of proteins to membranes. Lineage: Eukaryota; Metazoa; Chordata; Mammalia; Primates; Galagidae. The record is from Rfam by way of RNAcentral.
ACUGGAUGUGGUGAUAUGCACUUGUAGUCCCAGCUACUCAGGAAGCUGAGGCAGGAAGAUCACUUGAGUCCAGGAGUUCUGGGCAGUAGUAUACUCUUCUAAUCUGCAGAUAGGUGUUUGGCACUAAGUUCAGCAUCCAUAUGGUAACCUGGCAGGAGUUGGACAGGGGGUGGUGGUGGGGGUACCAGAUUGCCUGAGGAGGAGUGAACUGGCUCAGAUUGGAAACAGAGCAGAUCAAAAUUUCCAGUACUGCUGAUCACUAGUGAGAUCACACCUGUGAAUAUCCACUGCACUCUAGUCUGGGCAGCAUAGAAAGACCCAUCUCUU